This is a long non-coding RNA of Pezoporus flaviventris, 450 nucleotides long. RefSeq lists it as uncharacterized. The record is from RefSeq and is a predicted model, not a curated record. Lineage: Eukaryota; Metazoa; Chordata; Aves; Psittaciformes; Psittacidae. The transcript is spliced from 3 exons.
UGGACAUGAAUUGGAGUUAAAUUUGCUUAAUUUAAGAUCCCCUGUUCUCAAUGAAAUCAGUUAGUGUCUAGCAGGGGCAAAAGGCUUACAGAGCUCAAUGGGAGCAAGAAGAAUUCUUUGCUGAGUCAAAGGCUUUUUACACUGUGAGAAGUUACUAGAAGGAAUAAUGGAUCUGUGCUACGAUGUUCGGAUCCCCUUAAUCAGUUCUUUAGUUUCUGCUGGAAUCUUACUGAUUUAAGGACCUUAAUUCUAGAGUGCUCUGGCUUUCCUCCAAGCAGGAGGAUAGUUCCAACUCAUAGCAGAUGUAGACCAUCCCCUAAGACUCAGGAUCAAUCAGACAGAAGUGAAACAACUCAUGUCACCUGUAAAUUGUCAUCUCUAAGCAAGCAAAAAGACAGGCUUCUGGGAAUGCCAUGUGUUAUACCUAUGCUAGGGAGAAAAGCGUUCACA